RNAcentral lists this long non-coding RNA (388 nucleotides) under Chinchilla lanigera (long-tailed chinchilla). RNAcentral describes it as "lncRNA (ENSCLAG00000027166.1)". Lineage: Eukaryota; Metazoa; Chordata; Mammalia; Rodentia; Chinchillidae. The record is from RNAcentral.
GUCCAACGCUCUCCCAUCUCUGUCUUUGGGGGUUUUAAGGAGGCUUCCUUAUGCAGAUAUGAUUAGUUAAAUCGAUGGCUACUGGUGAUCAACUUAACCUUCAGCCCCUCUCCAGAGUUUAGCAUGCGGGGCUGGAAGUCCCAACCCUCUAACACUGCCUGAGUCUUUUUGGUGACUGGUCCCCAUCCUGAAGCCACCUAAAGGCUGCCCACCAGCAACCAUUUCAUUAGCGUACAAAAACAAAAAGACACAUCACUUUUGGGUUUUGGGAGUUCAAUGCCAGGAAGUUGAUGACAAUACUGUACAGUGAUACCUCAGGUGUCUGCCCGACAGCUCCAAGUCCAUUCUUUUUUAUUUUUAUUUUUUUUUUUUUUUUUUUUUUUUUUUU